UACGUAGGGUGCAAGCGUUAAUCGGAAUUACUGGGCGUAAAGCGCGCGCAGGCGGUCCUUUAAGUCUGAUGUGAAAGCCCACGGCUCAACCGUGGAGGGUCAUUGGAAACUGGGGGACUUGAGUACAGAAGAGAAGAGUGGAAUUCCACGUGUAGCGGUGAAAUGCGUAGAGAUGUGGAGGAACACCAGUGGCGAAGGCGACUCUUUGGUCUGUAACUGACGCUGAGGCGCGAAAGCGUGGGGAGCAAACAGG
RNAcentral lists this ribosomal RNA (253 nucleotides) under uncultured bacterium. RNAcentral describes it as "partial 16S ribosomal RNA". It matches the Rfam family "Bacterial small subunit ribosomal RNA", at positions 524 to 776 of the family's 1533-position model. The record is from RNAcentral.